This 372-nucleotide unclassified non-coding RNA is filed under the name uncultured Bacteroidia bacterium. RNAcentral's name for it is "contains 16S-23S intergenic spacer region". Lineage: Bacteria; Pseudomonadati; Bacteroidota; Bacteroidia. The record is from RNAcentral.
UCACGCCUUGCGGCGGCAGUUUCACUAGAGUUCCCAGCAUUACCUGAUGGCAACUAGUGAUAGGGGUUGCGCUCGUUAUAGGACUUAACCUGACACCUCACGGCACGAGCUGACGACAACCAUGCAGCGCCUUGUAAAUUGUCUUGCGAAAGAUCUGUUUCCAAACCGGUCAAUCUACAUUUAAGCCUUGGUAAGGUUCCUCGCGUAUCAUCGAAUUAAACCACAUGCUCCACCGCUUGUGCGGGCCCCCGCCAAUUCCUUUGAGUUUCAACCUUGCGGUCGUACUUCCCAGGUGGGAUACUUAAUGCUUUCGCUCAGACACUUAUCGUGUAUCACAAAUGUCGAGUAUCCAUCGUUUACAGCCAGGACUAC